GUCUAUGGCCAUGCUGCCCUGAACAAGCCUGAUCCCGUCUGAUCUUGGAAGCAAAGCAGGGUCGGGCCUGGUUAGUACUUGGAUGAGAGACCACCUAGGAAGACUAGGUACUGUAGGCA
RNAcentral lists this ribosomal RNA (119 nucleotides) under Pteropus alecto (black flying fox). Lineage: Eukaryota; Metazoa; Chordata; Mammalia; Chiroptera; Pteropodidae. The record is from RNAcentral.